GUGUAGAUGCCGUAUGGCUUUUUCAUUGUCGAGUAAAAUUUUAGACUCGUCUUUGGAGGCUACUCACCCUCGAAUUGAUUGUUGGAGGCCCAAACCCCUCAAAGUGGUCAUUCCAAAAUCUGUUUCUUUUACAAUACCACCGGGUUCGUAUCUGCAUAAAGCCUUUUAUAACAAGACUACCAACAUAGAAAGCAUCAUCAUUAGACACGUAUUUACAAUGUGUACUUAGAUCAACCAUGUACUGAAUAUUGUAGAGGUGUUAGCACACUCAACCAAAGUGUUCUAAGCAAAGUGAUUUAAAUGCCUGAAUCUCAUAUAAAGACACAGAUUUAGUGUUCAUGAAAGCUUCUGAGCAUCGAUAGAGCCCUAUCUUAGUUGUGAUUUGUCUUCCACAAACAUGGCAAAGUUGCAAACCUCUCCCACAGUCAUAGCAAAUCUUUGAAUAACCAAAUUAGUUAUGACACUUCCUCAGUAAGUGUCUAAUCAUAACAGUAGUUCAACAGAUUGUAUCUUUCAAUUCCUAACCUGGAAACUAUCAAAAGCCUCAAACUCAUGCAUCAUGUCCCCAGUCCACACCAGCUCCAACCAGAACAACUGAUAAGGGAU
RNAcentral lists this long non-coding RNA (606 nucleotides) under Phoenix dactylifera (date palm). RNAcentral describes it as "long non-coding RNA (PDAC_LNC003078)". Lineage: Eukaryota; Viridiplantae; Streptophyta; Magnoliopsida; Arecales; Arecaceae. The record is from RNAcentral.